Molecule: non-coding RNA, 423 nt
Organism: Gallus gallus (chicken)
Lineage: Eukaryota; Metazoa; Chordata; Aves; Galliformes; Phasianidae
Source: the annotation of a RefSeq genome assembly
GGGCUGAUGGCGGCCGUGACGUUGGACGAGUCCGGGGGCGGCCUCCAGACGCCCGGAGGAGGGCUCAGCCUCGUCUGCAAGGGCUCCGGGUUCACCUUCAGCAGUAAUGGCAUGGCCUGGGUGCGACAGGCGCCCGGCAAGGGGCUGGAGUUCGUCGCUGGUAUUGGCAACACUGGUAGAUACACAGGCUACGGGACGGCGGUGAAGGGCCGUGCCACCAUCUCGAGGGACAACGGGCAGAGCACAGUGAGGCUGCAGCUGAACAACCUCAGGGCUGAGGACACCGCCACCUACUUCUGCGCCAAAGAUGUUUACGAUUGUUCUUAUGCUUUCGGUGCUUAUGCCGGAGGUCACACAGACAUCACAGGGUGGCGAGUUCAUCUGCAUCUGGGAAGGUUCCCCUCGGGAUGCCGAGCUCUGUGA